RNAcentral lists this long non-coding RNA (4575 nucleotides) under Homo sapiens (human). Its description in RNAcentral is "non-protein coding lnc-ANKRD33-2:12". The record is from RNAcentral. Lineage: Eukaryota; Metazoa; Chordata; Mammalia; Primates; Hominidae.
ACAGCUGGGUGGCGGCGGCACCACAGCACCGGGCAGCCCGGCGCGCCCGUCCUUGGGGGCUCAGGCACAGCGGGGAAUGGCGUCGGUUCCGGACUGAGAGGCUCGGGGAGGCUUUAGGAGGAUGCUAUGGGAUUUCGGGGUAGGCUCCGGGAGGGUCUGGGACUCCCUCUGCAGGGUCAGAGGGUUUCGCACCGUGGCAUCUGCGGGCCCAGCCCACUCCAGAGACUGGGCGGCUCCACAGGGGAGGCCCCACGGCCCAGGAACCGGGAAGCCCACCUGCGCCGUAAGCCCAGAGUUGGGCUGGAACCGGGUCCCCACUCCUCGCUGCCGGGCGGAAAGCAGGAGACCGCUCCGCCGCCACAGCCCGUGCGGACAACACAAACAUUCUUCAGUCCUCUAUUCUCCUCCAAAUUAGGUAUCCAUGGAGACAGGGCCGGCAGCCUGACAGCCCUACGGCCUAAUCCUGAUUUAGUGACCGUCCCUUUAACAGCCCACCCACCCGUCCACCCACCCCUGCGCUCCGGGCCGCCGCUGGGCGCAGGGUCCAGGCCGCGCGCUCUCUGCCCCGCGCAGACCCCUUCCCAGGCCUCCUCCUCUGGCGGGGGCAGGGGGACCAGCGGGGCUGGGGAAGGGCACCAGCAUUUGCUGAUCACCUACAGGGUGCUCAGCAAUCUGCGAAGGACCCUCUGCAGCGGCGGGGGGGUUGCUAGCAUGCGAAUCUCUGUGUAGAACAGGAGAGGGCUCUUGCGGUGGGGAAGUUUGAGGGGCCCUCUCUGGAGAGCUGGGCGCUCCGGGGGUCCCCCUUGUUGCCUGUAGCCCCAGGGUGAAGCCAGCCCCCACCCCUCCCACACACACACACAGGGGCCGCUGGACAAAGACCUGACGGAGUGGGAGGGGCCUGCGGGCCGGCCCUCGGGCUCCGGACGCUGGAUCCUUCUGGGACCCGAACCCGCAAACCUUGGCUCCCCACCCCCAGGCCAGCAGACGCCCCCGAGCCGGCUGCUCGCUUUCGCUGCAGCCCCCGCACCAGAGGGGGCUGCGAGACGGGUGCCCGUCGGCGGCCGGGCGGCUAUCCCCUGCUCUGCCCGCCCCCUCCCCCCGAGAAGUGACCCUCGGCUCCCACGUACCCGCUAGGGUCUCUCGCCGGCCCUGCCCUCCGACCCCCGCCGAGCUGAACCCCGCGACUAGCAGCCCCCGCCCUCUCGGCCCUCUCCGGCCCCGGGCCGGCGGACAAAGCUCCGGACACCCUGACCGAACGGUCACCUCCCCCCGCCCCAUCCCGGCCCGCCCGCGGCCCCGUACCUCGGCAUCACGGCCGGGUCCUAGCCCACAUUUGGAAGCAACCGGCACCCACGCAGGUUCUGGAACUUGCCAAGGUUCCAGGGGUUGAGCCCACUCCAUCCUGUCCAAAGGCAGAAGCCUCCUCCAAGUCCUGCACGAUCCGCCCUCUAACAUGCAAGCCCAUCUGGAACCUCUGGAAUCCUACUGGGCUUCUUCGCUCCCUAAAGUUUACAGACCCAGGGCAAAAUAGGGAACUGCAAAUCCAAGUGGCCCAGAGGUCUCUCCACCCCCACUCUGCCCUCUCUGGGCCUGAGCCUGACAGGAGAUUCCCAGCACAUCUGGUUGUACUUAAAUCAUCCAGCACUACUGGAGUAGGUUCCCUGCUUCUCUCCCUUCAGCCCCAGCCUCCUCCCCUUCCUACACCAGCCUUCCAGGUCUCUCCUCCAGGAUGCCUUCCCUAACUCAUCCAGCCUCGGUAUCUGCACCCCACCCUUGAACCUCCACCUCUUUGGGUCUGGAGUCUGCCAGGGUGUGGAAGGGAGGGUGUGUGCUCCGCAAGACUCAGUGUGUAGAAUCUCAUCCUUCCCGAGCAUUGGUCCUAGAUAGAAACCUUCCCUUCAGGUAAGGAAGGGAGCCAGCCAAGAGCCUCCCCUCUGCUCCCUUGGCCUCAGGGGUGGCUGUCUCCAGUUAUGGGUGUGUACAGUGGGGAGGAACAAGUUCAGAUCCAGGCAGAGCCAUUCCUUUGGCAACUCUUGCUGUCAGCCAUCUUCCAAAGAGCUUUGCAAAAUGUUAAAGAACAAAAGAGAAAUAAAUACAGAGAAUAUAGCAAGUAUAAAAAUGCACAGUCUAGGCCAGGCACGGUGGCUCACACCUGUAAUCCUAGCACUUUGGGAGGCUGAGGCAGAUGGAUCACUUGAGGUCAGGAAUUUGAAACCAGCCUGGCCAAGAUGGUGAAACCCCAUCUCUACUAAAAAUACAAAAAUUAGCCAGGUGUGGUGGCGGGCACCUGUAGUCCCAGCUAUUUGGGAGGCUGAGGCAGAAGAAUUACUUGAACCCCGGAAGUGGAGGUUGUAGUGAGCCAAGAUCACACCACUGCACCCCAGCCUGGCUGACAAAGCAAGAUUCUGUCUCAAAAAAAAAAAAAAAAAAAAAAAAGAAUGCACGGACUCUAAAGAACAAGUUUGUAACCUACCAUGACCUGCUCCACCAGGGCUCCAGGUUUGAAUGUUCAUUCAUUCUUUUAUUCAAUAGCAUGUACUGAUGCCUGAGUCUACUAAGUUCUAGGAACAGUGACUCAAGUAAGAUCCCAGGGUCAGUGGGGGACAGGAACAGGUGGAUGAACAAAUGCUGCAUGCUGUAAUGGACAUGAGUCAGGGAGACAGAGGGGUGCCAAGGUUGAAGGUCAGAGACCCUGGACUGAAUCCCACCUCUGUCACUUUCUGCACUGUCUCUGGGGAGCCACUUAAUCUUGGGGAGCCUGUCUCCCCACCUGGAAAAGGACGAUGAUGUGACCUCACAGGGUCGUAGUGGGACUCAAAUAAGAUAAUGUGUGUGAAAACGCCUUGCAAAGUGCUAAGUGAGUUGUUGCUAUUAUGAUUAGGCUCAGGGGCUGCCUAUCUGACACUCAUUUUUCUAAUGCCUCAACAGCUGUCUCUCUUACCCUCCCAGGGCAGGUACCACGUUGGAGAAACUUCUGAGGGUGAAGGACACCCACCCUAGAGUAGUGGGCAGUUAAGCUGCCCGCAUAGACACACACACACACACUUUAGUUACACAAGCAGAACACCUUUUUAUAAAAAUUCGAAAGGCAUCAUGUGCCUACAGCCUCAGUUACUCAGGAGGCCGAGGCAAGAGGAUUGCAUGAGUCCUGGGCAACAGAGUGAAACCCAUUUCUACUAUUUAAAAAACACUAAUAAGAAAAAAUAGAUAAGCAGAAAACAAAAAAAUUAAAAAUCCAACGCCUUUAAUCCCACCACCCAGAGAUAACCACCAGUAAUAUGUUGGAGUCAGUUAGCCGGUCACAGUGGUGGGGGGCCUGUGGUCCCAGCUACUCGGGAGACUAAGGUGGGAGGAUUGCUUGAGCCAGGGAGAUUGAGGCUGCAGUGAGCCGUGAUUGCGCCAAUGCACUCCACCCUGGGCAACAAAGCAAGACCCCAUUUCAAAACAAAACAAACAAAAAACCAUUUUGGAGUCAGCUAGAUAUUAUUCUAUUUAUCUCUCUCUACACACACACACACACACACACACACACACACACACACACACACACACAUAUGUAUAUAUAGAGAGAUCUCCACAGUGUUUUAUAAUAUACUUUUCUUAAUAGACAAUUUUUUUUUUUGAGAGGGAGUCUUGCUCUGUUGCCCAGGCUGGAGUGCAGUGGUGUGAUCGCGGCUCACUGCAACCUCCACCUCCCAGGUUCAAGCAAUUCUCCUGCCUCAGCCUCCUAAGUAGCUGGGAUUACAGGCAUGUGCCACCACAGCUGGCUGAUUUUGGCAUUUUUAGUAGAGACGGGUUUCACCAUGUUGACCAGUCUGGUCUCAAACUCCUGACCUCAAGUGAUCCACCUGCCUUGGCCUCCCAAAGUGCUGGGAUUACAGGCGUGAGCCACCGCACCCAGACAAUGGACAAAUAUUUUGAACAUCUUUUGCUGUCUAUAAUACGUUUAUACCACACAAUUGUUAAUGACAGCUUAAUAUUCCAUCAAGUGGACAUGUCUAAAUUAAUUUAAAAAGUUUCCUGGCCAGGUGCGGUGGCUCUUGCCUGUAAUCCCAGCACUUUGGGAGGCCAAGGCGGGCGGAUCAUGAGGUCAGGAGUUUGAGACCAGCCUGGCCAACAUGAUGAAACCCCAUCUCUACUCAAAAUACAAAAGUUAGGUGGGCAUGGUGGCGCACUCCUGUAGUCCCAGCUACUAGGCAGGCUGAGGCAGGAGAAUAGCUUGAACCUGGGAGGCAGAGGUAGCAGUGAGCCAAGAUCUCACCUCUGCAUUCAAGCCUGGGCAACAGAGUAAGACUCUUCUGGAAAAAAAAAAAAAAGUUUCCUUUGUUGUUGAUUUUUUUCCAGAAAUAAAAGCUUCAUGAACAAACCUGUAACUUCCACCUUUGUGCACGCGUCUAAUUAUUGCCUUAGGAUAAAGUUCUGGUAACCAGAGGCUAGGAAUGCAUAUUUUUAUCUCUGAGGAGCCAGGAGCCCAGGCCUCUGGGCAGUGCUCUCACCUCUCCUCCAGGCAGCCCUCCCAGACCUCCAGGGUUGAGUACAUCUCCCAUGGUCCUUUCCUCUCCAAGUAACUUCAUC